This 305-nucleotide ribosomal RNA is filed under the name Fusarium solani. RNAcentral describes it as "eukaryotic LSU rRNA". The stretch from base 1 to 141 matches the Rfam family "5.8S ribosomal RNA". The record is from RNAcentral. Lineage: Eukaryota; Fungi; Ascomycota; Sordariomycetes; Hypocreales; Nectriaceae.
GGAUCUCUUGGUUCUGGCAUCGAUGAAGAACGCAGCAAAAUGCGAUAAGUAAUGUGAAUUGCAGAAUUCAGUGAAUCAUCGAAUCUUUGAACGCACAUUGCGCCCGCCAGUAUUCUGGCGGGCAUGCCUGUUCGAGCGUCAUUUCAACCCUCAAGCACAGCUUGGUGUUGGGACUCGCGUUAAUUCGCGUUCCUCAAAUUGAUUGGCGGUCACGUCGAGCUUCCAUAGCGUAGUAGUAAAACCCUCGUUACUGGUAAUCGUCGCGGCCACGCCGUUAAACCCCAACUUCUGAAUGUUGACCUCGG